AGUGGCUCCUGAUUGUGCCCAGCCAGACUGCGGCAUUUCGCCUAGCCGUCUCCUUGCAAAAUUCCUCAUUGGCAACCAGAGAGUGUGAAACCACAGACUUGAAAGAGUUCAUUGGUGGAGGUGACAUUCCCUUAUCAAUGCAAAAAGGGAACCCAGAGGUUUGGAAACUGGAAGAGAAGGCCACCCACCUCUGCAUGUAGGAUGAGUACAUCAAAGAAGAUGCAGAGCAUUUGAGGGAGGGGAAGAAAAAAUGAAUGAUAAUUGUAUUACCUUCGUUGCUAUUCACACUUUUGCAUAUUUCCUUCUUUUUUUUUUAAAUCUCCUCAUGGGCAAUGUUAACACAAUCAAGAUGUGCAUACAAAUUCAUAUCAUUUUUCACUUAAUUAAGCAGCAUAAAAUAAGUUAUUACACUUUAUAUUCCUGGAAUGCACAGGGUGCUGUGAUACAUUAUCACCAUGGUUUCAGACCUUCCAUAAAGUGUAUUAUACACGACAUGCCACAAGGAAGUGAGGCUUUAAGAAAAGAGGCUGUUUAAACAGAUUGGGGAUCAGUAAAGGGAGGAGAGGGAUCUUGGGAGGUGAGACCCCAGUGUGGGGAGGAUCCAGCUGAAACAGAAACAGAAGGAGAAAUAACUGUGUUAUGUAAGCAAGCCCCUAGAGAGUUUGGGAAACUUUUGUCUCUCCACUGAAUGCAAGAUUGGGGACUCAAUUUUAUGUUAUCACAAGAUGGAACAAGUGUACCUCCUGAGAUCCUUUUAAAACCAUCAGCAUGUAUAAGACUUGCCCUUCAUAAAAAGAAGUAAAAAUAGGAUGUUUGAUGGGUUAUAAUAAUAGGUUUUGAUGCUAUUUGAUCAAGUUUUUUUCUCUUUUAAAAGCAUCUUUUCCAGAAGUCACCUUUUUCCAAGGUUAAGAACUUCUUUUUUCUUUUUCUUUACUAAGGAGGGGAUAAAUGUAAUCCAUUAUUAAAGAGGGAAACACUGGUAUUUACAUUUACACUAGCCUCCCCCAAUACAAAUACUUUUUAAUAAUCUGUUCACUUUGUAACAUUUUAUGUUUCUCCCUCCCAGAAAUUUUGUGUUUCAGGUGCUUAAAUACAACCAGAUAUUCACUGAAGGCAUGUCUUAAGUGACCUCUAGAUUAAGGUACUCCUUUUGUGACCUUGUACAGGUUUCUUUGUUCCCUUAUUAUUAAAAUUUUUUUGGGGGGGGAGGAUACCAGGGAUUGAACUCUGGAGCACUGGGUUAUUAAGCCAUAUACUCAGCCCUAUUUUGUAUUUUACUUAUAGAUAGGGUCUCACUGAGUUGCUUAGUGCCUUGCUUUUGCUGAGGCUGACUUUGAACUCGAAAUCCUCCUGCCUCAGCCUCUUGAGUCAAUGAGAUUACAGGCUUGUGCCACCUCGAGCUCCCUUAUUAUUUUAAAUGUCUCCCUUCUCCACACCCACCCCACCCCACCUCUGAUUUUGUUUCUGAGGAUUGAACCUAGGGCAUCACGAGGCAAGAGCCCUUCUACUGAGCUAUAUCCCCAACCUGAAAUGUUUUACUUUUUUCUUUGCACUUUUGUAUUACCAUCUGUUCCAGGAAGGGAUGGGUAAAUGCAUUUUCCUAAAUUCUAUUCUAAGUUUUCUAUUCACCAGAUGCUGCCAUCAAAUUCCACCUUCUCCAAGGACUGCAAUGGGGCUACAAGGAAAACGGAUAAACUUUCUUCUUCUUAUCACAUAUGACCUGCAGAAAUCAGUGCCACUAUAUAUGAUUGCUUUUGCUUUGUUCUCUGACACCUUUAAAAAACAGGGGGAGAGAAACUGCUAAUGAACUAUUUCUUCUGAAGAAAUUCAGCCAUAUGUGUCUUUAACCACCUAAAAUCCCUUCUUCCCUAUAAAUGGUGGAAGUAUCUGAAAAGACACAAUGAAAUUAGAAACUUUGAAUUGAUGUAAUGAAGCAGCUGGGAUUAAUGAGAGGAUGGAUUCUGCCUGCAGUUGAGAAGCUGCUUCCAUUACCUAGUAUUCAUUUAAUGAAAGGAAAGAAUACGUGUUUGGAAUUUUUUCUUCUGACACUGCAGAUUUUAUAAGUUACUUAGUCUUACUACUAAAUAUUCAAGUCUUAUAAAUAAAUAAAAACCUUUC
This 2118-nucleotide long non-coding RNA is filed under the name Marmota monax (woodchuck). Lineage: Eukaryota; Metazoa; Chordata; Mammalia; Rodentia; Sciuridae. The record is from RNAcentral.